GAUGAACGCUGGCGGCGUGCCUAAUACAUGCAAGUCGAGCGAACAGAUGAGGAGCUUGCUCCUCUGACGUUAGCGGCGGACGGGUGAGUAACACGUGGAUAACCUACCUAUAAGACUGGGAUAACUUCGGGAAACCGGAGCUAAUACCGGAUAAUAUAUUGAACCGCAUGGUUCAAUUGUGAAAGACGGUUUUGCUGUCACUUAUAGAUGGAUCCGCGCCGCAUUAGCUAGUUGGUAAGGUAACGGCUUACCAAGGCAACGAUGCGUAGCCGACCUGAGAGGGUGAUCGGCCACACUGGAACUGAGACACGGUCCAGACUCCUACGGGAGGCAGCAGUAGGGAAUCUUCCGCAAUGGGCGAAAGCCUGACGGAGCAACGCCGCGUGAGUGAUGAAGGUCUUCGGAUCGUAAAACUCUGUUAUUAGGGAAGAACAAAUGUGUAAGUAACUAUGCACGUCUUGACGGUACCUAAUCAGAAAGCCACGGCUAGCUACGUG
RNAcentral lists this ribosomal RNA (497 nucleotides) under uncultured bacterium. RNAcentral's name for it is "partial 16S ribosomal RNA". It matches the Rfam family "Bacterial small subunit ribosomal RNA", at positions 28 to 507 of the family's 1533-position model. The record is from RNAcentral.